Molecule: ribosomal RNA, 1259 nt
Filed under: Amynthas yamade
Lineage: Eukaryota; Metazoa; Annelida; Clitellata; Crassiclitellata; Megascolecidae
Description: l-rRNA
Rfam family: Archaeal large subunit ribosomal RNA (bases 561-1259)
Source: RNAcentral
GCCCAUCUAAUAAAAUCUUAUAACCUUCAACUAAUAAAAACAAAUAAAUAAAUAUAAACAAAUAAUAAGUACAGAAAUGGAAGUACUAAUAAAUAAAAGUAACUAUUAACAACUGUACCUCGUGCAUUAUGGUUUUACAAGAAAAUAAUUAAAAAUACAGAUCCCGAAUUCUAAGUGAGAUGUUAAACUGCUGUUAAGAACCCAUCAAUAACUGUAUAAAAAGUUUUAAAAGACAGUUUAACAGAGGCUACAUACCAUCCGCACAAGAAUAUAGCUGGUUUUCAAUAAACAUUAUACAUUAAACCAUAUAAUAGUAUUAUAGUGUAAUACUAUUGAGGAUAAGCCCAAUAGUCUUAGCAAUAAAAAUAAAACCAGUAUAAAUUUAUAGGCCUAAAAUCAGCCAACCAAAAUACUUCAUCGUAACAAUUACUGAUAUAAUUAAUAUAAUAAUAUAUGCUAAAGAAAAUUGAAAUAGUGGGUAAACCUAUUAACCCGCCUAUAUUAUGUAAAAAUAAGUAUUAUAAAAAAAUAGUAGUAGUAAUCAAGUCACUUACAACACAUAAAACAGAAUAAUUAAUUAAGGAACUCGGCAAACCAUUAUUUCGACUGUUUAACAAAAACAUUGUCUCAUGUAAAAUAUAUGAGAUAAUACCUGCCCAGUGACACAAGUUCAACGGCCGCGGUAUCCUAACCGUGCAAAGGUAGCAUAAUCACUUGCCUAUUAAUUGUAGGCUAGAAUGAAAGGGUUAACUAAAUAAAGACUGUCUCAAUUAAUUACCUAAAAAUUAUUAUCUAUUUGAAGAAAGAUAGAUAGUCUCGAAGGACAAGAAGACCCUAUAGAGCUUAAUUUUAAUUAUAGAAUUACACUAUAAAAAUAUUCGGUUGGGGCGACCCAGGGCUAAUCAAUCACCCAAUAUAUAAAAGAUUAAUUAAUCAAAUAAUUGACCCCUAAAAGAUCAUAAGACCAAGCUACCUUAGGGAUAACAGGCUAAUCCCACUCAAGAGUCCUUAUCAACAGUGGGGUUUGGCACCUCGAUGUUGGCUUAGGGAAUCCAUAUAGCGCAAAAGCUAUAUAAAGAUGGUUUGUUCAACCAGUAACUCCCUACAUGAGCUGAGUUCAGACCGGCGUGAGCCAGGUUAGCUUCUAUCCUCGACCCACACAAUCUGCUCCUAGUACGAAAGGACCUGAGUAGAAUAAUAAAUUAUAUCAAAGAAUAAAUAUAAAUUAAAUAUUAAAUUUACCUCCAUCAUAAACUAUG